RNAcentral lists this ribosomal RNA (382 nucleotides) under Psychrobacillus lasiicapitis. RNAcentral describes it as "bacterial SSU rRNA". It matches the Rfam family "Bacterial small subunit ribosomal RNA", at positions 1 to 405 of the family's 1533-position model. The record is from RNAcentral. Lineage: Bacteria; Bacillati; Bacillota; Bacilli; Caryophanales; Bacillaceae.
UGGAGAGUUUGAUCCUGGCUCAGGACGAACGCUGGCGGCGUGCCUAAUACAUGCAAGUCGAGCGAAUGAUGAAGAAGCUUGCUUCUUCUGAUUNACCUGCCCUGUAGAUUGGGAUAACUCCGGGAAACCGGGGCUAAUACCGAAUAAUCCAUUUCCUCACAUGUGGAGAUGUUAAAAGACGGUUUCGGCUGUCACUACAGGAUGGGCCCGCGGCGCAUUAGCUAGUUGGUGAGGUAACGGCUCACCAAGGCGACGAUGCGUAGCCGACCUGAGAGGGUGAUCGGCCACACUGGGACUGAGACACGGCCCAGACUCCUACGGGAGGCAGCAGUAGGGAAUCUUCCACAAUGGACGAAAGUCUGAUGGAGCAACGCCGCGUGAG